CAAUAGCGUAUAUUAAAGUUGUUGCAGUUAAAAAGCUCGUAGUUGGAUUUGUGGCUGUCGCAGGCGGCUCGGUACCUAGUACCGUAGUUAGCUCGCGUCGCCAUCCUUGGGUGGAACCUGUGUGGCAUUAGGUUGUCGUGCAGGGGAGGCCCAUCGUUUACUGUGAAAAAAUUAGAGUGUUCAAAGCAGGCUUACGCCGUUGAAUAUAUUAGCAUGGAAUAAUAAGAUAGGACCUUGGUACUAUUUUGUUGGUUUGCGCACCAAGGUAAUGAUUAAUAGGGACAGUUGGGGGUAUUCGUAUUCCAUUGUCAGAGGUGAAAUUCUUGGAUUUUUGGAAGACGAACUACUGCGAAAGCAUUUACCAAGGAUGUUUUCAUUAA
RNAcentral lists this ribosomal RNA (380 nucleotides) under uncultured eukaryote. RNAcentral describes it as "partial 18S ribosomal RNA". It matches the Rfam family "Eukaryotic small subunit ribosomal RNA", at positions 592 to 976 of the family's 1831-position model. The record is from RNAcentral.